AAACGGGUGCGGAACACGUACGCAACCUUCCUUUAACUGGAGAAUAGCCCCUCGAAAGAGGGAUUAAUACUCCGUAACAUAUUGAUAAGGCAUCUUGUUAAUAUUAUAGCUCCGGCGGUUAAAGAUGGGCGUGCGCCUGAUUAGGUAGUUGGCGGGGUAACGGCCCACCAAGCCUGCGAUCAGUAACUGGUGUGAGAGCACGACCAGUCACACGGGCACUGAGACACGGGCCCG
RNAcentral lists this ribosomal RNA (234 nucleotides) under uncultured bacterium. RNAcentral's name for it is "partial 16S ribosomal RNA". It matches the Rfam family "Bacterial small subunit ribosomal RNA", at positions 101 to 334 of the family's 1533-position model. The record is from RNAcentral.